UUAGUUCAGCCUCAUUUUUUAGAGUUCUGGAGUAUCUUAUUGCACAAAAUAUGCUGAGGAGAAAUUCCUGUGAUGCUCAUGAGAAAAAUUGUAGAGCGCUUUUACACU
Gallus gallus (chicken) is the source of this 108-nucleotide non-coding RNA. NCBI's taxonomy places the organism in Eukaryota, Metazoa, Chordata, Aves, Galliformes, Phasianidae. The record is from RefSeq and is marked provisional.